RNAcentral lists this transfer RNA (89 nucleotides) under Haploplasma axanthum. Its description in RNAcentral is "Acholeplasma axanthum tRNA-Ser(cga)". It matches the Rfam family "tRNA". Rfam says of the family: Transfer RNA (tRNA) molecules are approximately 80 nucleotides in length. Lineage: Bacteria; Bacillati; Mycoplasmatota; Mollicutes; Acholeplasmatales; Acholeplasmataceae. The record is from RNAcentral.
GGAAGCGUAUCGAAGAGGUCAUAACGAGCUUGACUCGAAAUCAAGUUGUCUGAAAGGGCACGCGGGUUCGAAUCCCGCCGCUUCCGCCA